Dendrobium catenatum is the source of this 459-nucleotide long non-coding RNA. RefSeq lists it as uncharacterized. NCBI's taxonomy places the organism in Eukaryota, Viridiplantae, Streptophyta, Magnoliopsida, Asparagales, Orchidaceae. The record is from RefSeq and is a predicted model, not a curated record. The transcript has 2 exons.
UGAACUCAAAAGCUAUUCGCUCACACCCCGUGGUCACAGAGGUGCGCAAUGGCGCUGCGGCUUUAGCUGAUUCUGGAAUUUCGUCUUUUCUUCUUGAUCCGAACACCGAUUCUCAGCUGUGGAGAUCCAGCAGGAUCAUGGUGCUUGGGCUUGAGGCAGCGGAUCAGCAUAUAGCAUGGUCAGAAAAAGAGGAACCUGUUGAGUAAUUGAGCAUCCAGGAUUUGAUAUGUGUGAGUUUGUAUAAGUAUUUUCUGAUUUUUGUACAGUCAUAGCUGGUUAUUUAAGUUAAAUUUGUAGCAAUGUACCAUAGUGUAAAUAUUGUAUAUAUCUUUUGAUGGUCAAUGAAAAUUCUUUUAUAGAUAAAUUCAUUUUCUGUUUACUAGAAGUUUAUUAGAGGAUCUAUUGUCUGUUUCAAGAUAAUCAAUUUAGUCUCAGGUACAGUGGUAUCAGUUGUAUUCA